GGUUAAGCGACUAAGCGUACACGGUGGAUGCCCUGGCAGUCAGAGGCGAUGAAGGACGUGCUAAUCUGCGAUAAGCGUCGGUAAGGUGAUAUGAACCGUUAUAACCGGCGAUUUCCGAAUGGGGAAACCCAGUGUGAUUCGUCACACUAUCAUUACGUGAAUACAUAGCGUAAUGAAGCGAACCGGGGGAACUGAAACAUCUAAGUACCCCGAGGAAAAGAAAUCAACCGAGAUUCCCCCAGUAGCGGCGAGCGAACGGGGAGCAGCCCAGAGUCUGAAUCAGCUUGUGUGUUAGUGGAACGGUCUGGAAAGUCCGACGGUACAGGGUGAUAGUCCCGUACACCAAAAUGCACAGGUUGUGAACUCGAAGAGUAGGGCGGGACACGUGGUAUCCUGUCUGAAUAUGGGGGGACCAUCCUCCAAGGCUAAAUACUCCUGACUGACCGAUAGUGAACCAGUACCGUGAGGGAAAGGCGAAAAGAACCCCGGCGAGGGGAGUGAAAAAGAACCUGAAACCGUGUACGUACAAGCAGUGGGAGCACCCUUUGGGGUGUGACUGCGUACCUUUUGUAUAAUGGGUCAGCGACUUAUAUUCUGUAGCAAGGUUAACCGUAUAGGGGAGCCGAAGGGAAACCGAGUCUUAACUGGGCGUUAAGUUGCAGGGUAUAGACCCGAAACCCGGUGAUCUAGCCAUGGGCAGGUUGAAGGUUGGGUAACACUAACUGGAGGACCGAACCGACUAAUGUUGAAAAAUUAGCGGAUGACUUGUGGCUGGGGGUGAAAGGCCAAUCAAACCGGGAGAUAGCUGGUUCUCCCCGAAAGCUAUUUAGGUAGCGCCUCGUGAACUCAUCUUCGGGGGUAGAGCACUGUUUCGGCUAGGGGGUCAUCCCGACUUACCAACCCGAUGCAAACUGCGAAUACCGAAGAAUGUUAUCACGGGAGACACACGGCGGGUGCUAACGUCCGUCGUGAAGAGGGAAACAACCCAGACCGCCAGCUAAGGUCCCAAAGUCAUGGUUAAGUGGGAAACGAUGUGGGAAGGCACAGACAGCCAGGAUGUUGGCUUAGAAGCAGCCAUCAUUUAAAGAAAGCGUAAUAGCUCACUGGUCGAGUCGGCCUGCGCGGAAGAUGUAACGGGGCUAAACCAUGCACCGAAGCUGCGGCAGCGACACUAUGUGUUGUUGGGUAGGGGAGCGUUCUGUAAGCCGUUGAAGGUGUACUGUGAGGUAUGCUGGAGGUAUCAGAAGUGCGAAUGCUGACAUAAGUAACGAUAAUGCGGGUGAAAAACCCGCACGCCGGAAGACCAAGGGUUCCUGUCCAACGUUAAUCGGGGCAGGGUGAGUCGACCCCUAAGGCGAGGCCGAAAGGCGUAGUCGAUGGGAAACAGGUUAAUAUUCCUGUACUUGGUGUUACUGCGAAGGGGGGACGGAGAAGGCUAUGUUAGCCGGGCGACGGUUGUCCCGGUUUAAGCAUGUAGGCGGAGGUUCCAGGUAAAUCCGGUACCUUUUUAACGCUGAGGUGUGAUGACGAGGCACUACGGUGCUGAAGUAACAAAUGCCCUGCUUCCAGGAAAAGCCUCUAAGCAUCAGGUAACACGAAAUCGUACCCCAAACCGACACAGGUGGUCAGGUAGAGAAUACCAAGGCGCUUGAGAGAACUCGGGUGAAGGAACUAGGCAAAAUGGUGCCGUAACUUCGGGAGAAGGCACGCUGAUAUGUAGGUGAAGCGGUUUACCCGUGGAGCUGAAAUCAGUCGAAGAUACCAGCUGGCUGCAACUGUUUAUUAAAAACACAGCACUGUGCAAACACGAAAGUGGACGUAUACGGUGUGACGCCUGCCCGGUGCCGGAAGGUUAAUUGAUGGGGUUAUCCGUAAGGAGAAGCUCUUGAUCGAAGCCCCGGUAAACGGCGGCCGUAACUAUAACGGUCCUAAGGUAGCGAAAUUCCUUGUCGGGUAAGUUCCGACCUGCACGAAUGGCGUAAUGAUGGCCAGGCUGUCUCCACCCGAGACUCAGUGAAAUUGAACUCGCUGUGAAGAUGCAGUGUACCCGCGGCAAGACGGAAAGACCCCGUGAACCUUUACUAUAGCUUGACACUGAACACUGGUCCUUGAUGUGUAGGAUAGGUGGGAGGCUUUGAAGUGUGGACGCCAGUCUGCAUGGAGCCAUCCUUGAAAUACCACCCUUUAAUGGCUGGUGUUCUAACGUGGACCCGUGAUCCGGGUUGCGGACAGUGUCUGGUGGGUAGUUUGACUGGGGCGGUCUCCUCCUAAAGAGUAACGGAGGAGCACGAAGGUUAGCUAAUCCUGGUCGGACAUCAGGAGGUUAGUGCAAAGGCAUAAGCUAGCUUGACUGCGAGAGUGACGGCUCGAGCAGGUGCGAAAGCAGGUCUUAGUGAUCCGGUGGUUCUGAAUGGAAGGGCCAUCGCUCAACGGAUAAAAGGUACUCCGGGGAUAACAGGCUGAUACCGCCCAAGAGUUCAUAUCGACGGCGGUGUUUGGCACCUCGAUGUCGGCUCAUCACAUCCUGGGGCUGAAGUAGGUCCCAAGGGUAUGGCUGUUCGCCAUUUAAAGUGGUACGCGAGCUGGGUUUAGAACGUCGUGAGACAGUUCGGUCCCUAUCUGCCGUGGGCGCUGGAGAAUUGAGGGGGGCUGCUCCUAGUACGAGAGGACCGGAGUGGACGCAUCACUGGUGUUCGGGUUGUCAUGCCAAUGGCAUUGCCCGGUAGCUAAAUGCGGAAGAGAUAAGUGCUGAAAGCAUCUAAGCACGAAACUUGCCCCGAGAUGAGUUCUCCCUGAGACUUUAAGUCUCCUGAAGGAACGUUGAAGACGACGACGUUGAUAGGUCGGGUGUGUAAGCGUAGCGAUACGUUGAGCUAACCGAUACUAAUGAACCGUGAGGCUUAACCUU
RNAcentral lists this ribosomal RNA (2908 nucleotides) under Citrobacter freundii. RNAcentral describes it as "23S ribosomal RNA". It matches the Rfam family "Bacterial large subunit ribosomal RNA". Lineage: Bacteria; Pseudomonadati; Pseudomonadota; Gammaproteobacteria; Enterobacterales; Enterobacteriaceae. The record is from RNAcentral.